RNA transcript from Rosa rugosa (rugosa rose), 2243 nucleotides. RefSeq lists it as uncharacterized. The record is from RefSeq and is a predicted model, not a curated record. Lineage: Eukaryota; Viridiplantae; Streptophyta; Magnoliopsida; Rosales; Rosaceae. The transcript is spliced from 9 exons.
ACUACAAUAAAGGGAGGCGCCAGAUUUGGUGUCAAAGCUUCACCAAAUUUUUGAACUCCCAUAAUUACCCAUGAUUUAAAGAACAGUUCAACUUAAGUGAAAAUUAUCAAUAAGGGAUAGCAAUGUAAAAUACAAAAACAUAAAUAAGAAAAUAAAUACGGAAUCAUUGAGGAAAACAGAAAUUGCCGGCAGUUAGCACGAUCUGCUCGAAGAACGACUGGCGGGGCGCACGAUUGGAGACGGAAGGCGGACGUGGGAGAUGAUUGGAGUGGAUAUGGCUUCCUUAUUAUUCACCCCACUCUCAAUUUACGGUUCAUAUAAAAGGAGAAGGGAAAGAGGAGCAGAGCAAAAUCAAACCCAGAAAGAGGAAAAAAUUAGAAUCAAAUCGGAGACUUUCAGAUUUCGUGUUCCAUUGAUUUGGCAUUGAUUUGGGUGUCCUAUUUCCAUUGAUGUGGGCAGAGCGGAUUCUUAAUCAAACCCAAAAGGCAGAGUAAUAGGUAUCAACUCGAGCGACAGUGUUGCGGAUUCAGUAGAGGUCAGCCUUGAUAAUUGUUUCCAGAUUUUGAAUUUCAUUUAUUUGGGUUUUCGUUUUCGAUUGAAGUUCCAUGUGUUAAUUAUUACAUUGGGUAAUUUCAAAGAGUGGGUGAUUGCCAAAUGCUGCUUCGCUUUCUUUCAAUUUUUGCAGGUAAAUGUAUGGGAGAUUUCGGAACAUUGUGAAAGUUGGUGUCGGCUAAUAUUAGUUGCAGUGGAGCCACCAAGGUUUUAGUAAGGCCAUUCUGCAGUGGUUAAUUAUAACUCAAACAGAGGAACAAAAUUAAAAUCAAAAUCGACUCAGUUUUGGCGAAUUACCUAAAGGUACCUGUAAAGUAUUUGAUUGGACUUGAAAGGAAAAGCGCAAGACCAGUCUUCUUGGUUCGUCUUUCUUGGAGCAUGUUAAGGAGAUAUUGGAACCUGAUACUUUUAUUGCUGCAGCGCCUUGGGUGUACUACCCAAUAAUUGAAAAGUAUUCAAUAUAUUUGACAUAGCUCUUCAGCGCUUCCAAACUGAGCAUGGAAAAGGGUUUCCAACUCAUUUCUCCCAGAUAGGGGCUCCUGACUUCUAUACCAUUCAAAGGCCGACAAGGUUGGAAAAAGCUUCAUUUUUUUAUCACUGCUCUGAACAAGACAGCAAGCUUCAAGGACGCUAUAAACACAGACAUGCCAAAAUACUGCAACCAUCAAGUAAAGAUGCGGCCUCAAGUAAGGCCUUGAUUAGAAUUUGAUCUAAUUCAAACUCGCCGUAUUUGAUUCCUUAUUGAUUGUUAUGGGACAAGUUUCUUCAUCACGCCCUCAGCCAUCGAAUGAUGGCCAGUUACUACAUAGGAACCAUCCCGUGUUCAUGCACCCAAUGCAGAAAGGCAAAGUACAAAUACCUCUCAAGGAGAGAGGAGACAAUCAGUGAUUUCUUCAGAAGCUAUUUUAUCGCAGUCUCACCCACUGGAUGAAGAUCAGGGACACACCCGUCUUCGUAUACUAGAUGCAGAAAGACAACGUAGAACUAAUUAUCAAAGAGAGAAGCGACAGUCAUUGAAUUCUUCACAACGAGCAGAAAGUUUAGCCCGAAGACGUGCUAAUUACCACUUACGGCGACAGUCGCGAAAUACAAGUGUGGAGAACAGAAGUAUGACAAAUCAACUUGAAGCAAUGGCUGGUAACUUACUACAAUGAGUCAUCUAAAAGACAAACAUCUUCAACCUUUUGUAUAACUAUUUGGAACAGAUUCCUUUCUUAUUUUGGUGGCCCACAUGUAAAUGUUCUUAUAUAUAUAUAUAUAUAUAUAUAUAUAUAUAUAUAUAUAUAUUUAUAUACCUGUGCUAAAAUGGUCGAUAAAAGCACCGAGUGUAAUGUUUUAUUUUUUAUUUUUAAGAAAUAAUUUUGUUAUGUUGACAACACGUUGCCAAGUGUGUUAGAAGAGAGUGGUGGUUUAAUCAAGACUCCAAACCAAGACCCUUGGAGUUCUAGAAUGGUAUUUUUUUUUUUUUUUUUGCUACAAACUAUGACAUGAUGUUGAUUGUAGCUUUAUGUCAUGUUGUACAUAUCGACAUCUUUCCUUUAACCUGUAGCUUCAUAGCAGGGAUUUGGGAUUUUAGGAGCUGAUGAAAUGCUUAGUUUGUACCUGUAUUAAUGCAAGAUGAAUAUUGGUUGCUGGUGUUAUUUCAAAAAAGAAUUACAUGUGAAUUUCAAAGGCUUAUGAGGUUAUUGAAA